RNAcentral lists this ribosomal RNA (483 nucleotides) under uncultured bacterium. RNAcentral describes it as "bacterial SSU rRNA". It matches the Rfam family "Bacterial small subunit ribosomal RNA", at positions 30 to 508 of the family's 1533-position model. The record is from RNAcentral.
AUUGAACGCUGGCGGCAUGCCUUACACAUGCAAGUCGAACGGCAGCGGACCUUCGGGUGCCGGCGAGUGGCGAACGGGUGAGUAAUAUAUCGGAACGUACCUUUCAGUGGGGGAUAACGUAGCGAAAGUUACGCUAAUACCGCAUAUUCUGUGAGCAGGAAAGCAGGGGAUCGCAAGACCUUGCGCUGAUUGAGCGGCCGAUAUCAGAUUAGCUAGUUGGUGAGGUAAAGGCUCACCAAGGCGACGAUCUGUAGCGGGUCUGAGAGGAUGAUCCGCCACACUGGAACUGAGACACGGCCCAGACUCCUACGGGAGGCAGCAGUGGGGAAUAUUGGACAAUGGGCGCAAGCCUGAUCCAGCAAUGCCGCGUGUGUGAAGAAGGCCUGCGGGUUGUGAAGCACUUUCAGUGGGGAAGAACAGAUUCGGGUCAAUACCCCGGAGCCCUGACGUUACCCACAGAAGAAGCACCGGCUAACUCCGUCG